GCUAUUUUGGCAGAAAAAAUGUGAUGAUUUUAGAAUUCAUUUAUAUAUAAAUAAAUUAUAUAUGUAGUA
This 69-nucleotide transfer RNA is filed under the name Timandra comae. RNAcentral's name for it is "transfer RNA-Leu". Lineage: Eukaryota; Metazoa; Arthropoda; Insecta; Lepidoptera; Geometridae. The record is from RNAcentral.